RNAcentral lists this ribosomal RNA (493 nucleotides) under uncultured bacterium. Its description in RNAcentral is "partial 16S ribosomal RNA". It matches the Rfam family "Bacterial small subunit ribosomal RNA", at positions 30 to 523 of the family's 1533-position model. The record is from RNAcentral.
AUUGAACGCUGGCGGCAUGCUUUACACAUGCAAGUCGAACGGUAACAGGUUAAGCUGACGGGUGGCGAACGGGUGAGUAAUGCAUCGGAACGUGCCCGGUCGUGGGGGAUAACGCAGCGAAAGUUGCGCUAAUACCGCAUACGAUCUGAGGAUGAAAGCGGGGGACCGUAAGUCCUCGCGCGAUCGGAGCGGCCGAUGUCAGAUUAGGUAGUUGGUGGGGUAAAGGCUCACCAAGCCAACGAUCUGUAGCUGGUCUGAGAGGACGACCAGCCACACUGGGACUGAGACACGGCCCAGACUCCUACGGGAGGCAGCAGUGGGGAAUUUUGGACAAUGGGCGAAAGCCUGAUCCAGCAAUGCCGCGUGCAGGAAGAAGGCCUUCGGGUUGUAAACUGCUUUUGUACGGAGCGAAAAGGUCUCCUCUAAUACAGGGGGCUCAUGACGGUACCGUAAGAAUAAGCACCGGCUAACUACGUGCCAGCCGCCGCGGUAA